RNAcentral lists this ribosomal RNA (474 nucleotides) under uncultured Hyphomicrobiales bacterium. RNAcentral's name for it is "bacterial SSU rRNA". It matches the Rfam family "Bacterial small subunit ribosomal RNA", at positions 8 to 526 of the family's 1533-position model. The record is from RNAcentral. Lineage: Bacteria; Pseudomonadati; Pseudomonadota; Alphaproteobacteria; Hyphomicrobiales.
AGAGUUUGAUCCCUGGUUCAGAGCGAACGCUGGCGGCAGGCCUAACACAUGCAGUCGAGCGGGCGUAGCAAUACGUCAGCGGCAGACGGGAGAGUAACACGUGGGAACGCGCCCUUCGGUUCGGAAUAACUCAGGGAAACUUGAGCUAAUACCGAAUACGCCCUAACGGGGAAAGAUUUAUCGCCGAAGGAACGGCCCGCGUCCGAUUAGCUAGUUGGUGAGGUAAUGUCUCACCAAGGCAACGAUCGGUAGCUGGUCUAAGAGGAUGAUCAGCCUCACUGGGACUGAGACACGGCCCAGACUCCUACGGGAGGCAGCAGUGGGGAAUAUUGGACAAUGGGCGCAAGCCUGAUCCAGCCAUGCCGCGUGGAUGAUGAAGGCCCUAGGGUUGUAAAGUCCUUUUAACGGGGAAGAUAAUGACGGUACCCGUAGAAUAAGCCCCGGCUAACUUCGUGCCAGCAGCCGCGGUAAUAC